This 1503-nucleotide ribosomal RNA is filed under the name Helicobacter pylori. RNAcentral describes it as "16S ribosomal RNA". It matches the Rfam family "Bacterial small subunit ribosomal RNA". The record is from RNAcentral. Lineage: Bacteria; Pseudomonadati; Campylobacterota; Epsilonproteobacteria; Campylobacterales; Helicobacteraceae.
UUUAUGGAGAGUUUGAUCCUGGCUCAGAGUGAACGCUGGCGGCGUGCCUAAUACAUGCAAGUCGAACGAUGAAGCUUCUAGCUUGCUAGAGUGCUGAUUAGUGGCGCACGGGUGAGUAACGCAUAGGUCAUGUGCCUCUUAGUUUGGGAUAGCCAUUGGAAACGAUGAUUAAUACCAGAUACUCCCUACGGGGGAAAGAUUUAUCGCUAAGAGAUCAGCCUAUGUCCUAUCAGCUUGUUGGUAAGGUAAUGGCUUACCAAGGCUAUGACGGGUAUCCGGCCUGAGAGGGUGAACGGACACACUGGAACUGAGACACGGUCCAGACUCCUACGGGAGGCAGCAGUAGGGAAUAUUGCUCAAUGGGGGAAACCCUGAAGCAGCAACGCCGCGUGGAGGAUGAAGGUUUUAGGAUUGUAAACUCCUUUUGUUAGAGAAGAUAAUGACGGUAUCUAACGAAUAAGCACCGGCUAACUCCGUGCCAGCAGCCGCGGUAAUACGGAGGGUGCAAGCGUUACUCGGAAUCACUGGGCGUAAAGAGCGCGUAGGCGGGAUAGUCAGUCAGGUGUGAAAUCCUAUGGCUUAACCAUAGAACUGCAUUUGAAACUACUAUUCUAGAGUGUGGGAGAGGUAGGUGGAAUUCUUGGUGUAGGGGUAAAAUCCGUAGAGAUCAAGAGGAAUACUCAUUGCGAAGGCGACCUGCUGGAACAUUACUGACGCUGAUUGCGCGAAAGCGUGGGGAGCAAACAGGAUUAGAUACCCUGGUAGUCCACGCCCUAAACGAUGGAUGCUAGUUGUUGGAGGGCUUAGUCUCUCCAGUAAUGCAGCUAACGCAUUAAGCAUCCCGCCUGGGGAGUACGGUCGCAAGAUUAAAACUCAAAGGAAUAGACGGGGACCCGCACAAGCGGUGGAGCAUGUGGUUUAAUUCGAAGAUACACGAAGAACCUUACCUAGGCUUGACAUUGAGAGAAUCCGCUAGAAAUAGUGGAGUGUCUAGCUUGCUAGACCUUGAAAACAGGUGCUGCACGGCUGUCGUCAGCUCGUGUCGUGAGAUGUUGGGUUAAGUCCCGCAACGAGCGCAACCCCCUUUCUUAGUUGCUAACAGGUUAUGCUGAGAACUCUAAGGAUACUGCCUCCGUAAGGAGGAGGAAGGUGGGGACGACGUCAAGUCAUCAUGGCCCUUACGCCUAGGGCUACACACGUGCUACAAUGGGGUGCACAAAGAGAAGCAAUACUGUGAAGUGGAGCCAAUCUUCAAAACACCUCUCAGUUCGGAUUGUAGGCUGCAACUCGCCUGCAUGAAGCUGGAAUCGCUAGUAAUCGCAAAUCAGCCAUGUUGCGGUGAAUACGUUCCCGGGUCUUGUACUCACCGCCCGUCACACCAUGGGAGUUGUGUUUGCCUUAAGUCAGGAUGCUAAAUUGGCUACUGCCCACGGCACACACAGCGACUGGGGUGAAGUCGUAACAAGGUAACCGUAGGUGAACCUGCGGCUGGAUCACCUCCUU